This 387-nucleotide unclassified non-coding RNA is filed under the name soil metagenome. RNAcentral's name for it is "partial contains 5.8S ribosomal RNA, internal transcribed spacer 2, and large subunit ribosomal RNA". The stretch from base 1 to 120 matches the Rfam family "5.8S ribosomal RNA", at positions 35 to 154 of the family's 154-position model. The record is from RNAcentral.
GAUGAAGAACGUAGCGAAAUGCGAUAAGUAAUGUGAAUUGCAGAAUUCAGUGAAUCAUCGAAUCUUUGAACGCACAUUGCGCCCAUUAGUAUUCUAGUGGGCAUGCCUGUUCGAGCGUCAUUAAUUCCACUUAAGCCCUGCUUAGUGUUGGGAAUCUACUCUAGUGGUGCUACCCUGGAGCUACCCCUGAAAGGGGGCUGGCCCGGUAGCUACCCUGUAGUUCCUCAAAGAUAGUGCGCGGAGUUGCGUGGUCCUCUGAGCUUAGUAACUAUACACCUAGCUUUUGAGUGUCCCGCAGCGCCUGCCGUUUAAACCCCAUCUUUUAAUGGUUGACCUCGGAUCAGGUAGGAAUACCCGCUGAACUUAAGCAUAUCAAUAAGCGGAGGA